GUUCUUGGCCUCACGGAUUCCAAGGAAUGAAAUCUUGGGCCAUGCGAUGAGUGUUAUAGCUCUAUUAGAAGCUGUGGGUCACAGAAGAGAACCACGGAAAGUGGUGACUAGUGUUCAGCACGAUUAGGACAAAUCCGGGCACUUAGCCAUGCAGGAACAAUGGCAAGCCUUUUACCGGAUCGGGAGCGGCAAUGGGUGCCUCACUGGAUCAGGAGCACAGGGGACACCCUGCUGGAUCCGGAGGGAUGGAAGUCAGCGGCAGGUCUGUGAUGGCAGCCAACAGCAGUGGUGGACGGCGAGCGAAAGCUCAGCUCGAGAGGUGGACUCCAAUGGCAGCAUCAAGAUGUUCUCCCAGUUGUACUCGGAAAGAUAUGCUUCUGAGGGGAAAGCUAUUUUUUUCCUAAAUGCAUAUUAGGUAAAAAGUGUGUGUCAGAGAUAAAAGUAUGCUGAUUAAGACCCUAGUCUUGGGGCAAUUAGACUUGCAUCACAGUCUCCCAACUCUAUUUGCUAAUUGUUUAAUAAAUUCUCUAUACCGUAAUUUAUUAUCUUGAUGGAUUAACAACAGUAACACCAUCUUAGAAUUUUUAAGAAGAAUAAAUGGGAUUAUACAUAUAAAAUGAUGAGCACACUAUCAGGACCACAGAUGUUUGUGUUGUUGCUUUUCUUUAGGUUUAUCCACACUGUCCUCC
This 689-nucleotide long non-coding RNA is filed under the name Homo sapiens (human). Its description in RNAcentral is "HSALNT0147511". The record is from RNAcentral. Lineage: Eukaryota; Metazoa; Chordata; Mammalia; Primates; Hominidae.